UUUUAGGAAACUGCAUGGAACGAUAGCAGGUUUAAUUCUUCACACAGACAUCCGCUGAACAUGAUGUCUGUAUGUGUGUCAUUCAGAUCACCGUCACUCGUCACAUCACGCCCGUCACCAUCAGUCCAAACACACCGAUGGCCGGAGAAAUAAGACUGGGAAAAAGAAAAGGAGUAAAGAGCGACACACGAGUGAUGACCUCAGCGUGCAGGAUGGAGAGAAAGAGGAAGAAACACACACCGACAAACCCGAGAGCGAGACGCAGGACAGUGUGCAGUUCUUCCUGUACGAUGAAGAGGUUUUCAAUGCUGAUGGAGAAAACACGGCCGAGAACAAACACACGCCCGCAGGAACACACAACGACAGCGGCACUGCAGAUGUGGAGCUCACACACCCUGAGACUGAAACACACGAUGACAACGCUCUGACUGAUUCUUCUAAACACCAUGUUGUGACCAUCAACCCAAGCUCUGUGACGUUUCACCCCAGCACUUUGACCAGUCCGACCGGAAACAUGACGGGAAACGAGAGCACAAAAUACGAGAGGAUUCCUGCAGACGAGGCGGAGACACACGCACUUGGCUCAGCCAAUUGGAUGACAUUAAGAGUGAGUUUAUAUAACUCAUCGUAUCAAAC
Molecule: long non-coding RNA, 636 nt
Organism: Ictalurus punctatus (channel catfish)
Lineage: Eukaryota; Metazoa; Chordata; Actinopteri; Siluriformes; Ictaluridae
Source: Ensembl